AUUGAACGCUGGCGGCAGGCCUAACACAUGCAAGUCGAACGGUAACAGGAAGCAGCUUGCUGCUUCGCUGACGAGUGGCGGACGGGUGAGUAAUGUCUGGGAAGCUGCCUGAUGGAGGGGGAUAACUACUGGAAACGGUAGCUAAUACCGCAUAAUGUCGCAAGACCAAAGAGGGGGACCUUCGGGCCUCUUGCCAUCGGAUGUGCCCAGAUGGGAUUAGCUUGUUGGUGGGGUAACGGCUCACCAAGGCGACGAUCCCUAGCUGGUCUGAGAGGAUGACCCGCCCCACGGGGACUGAGAACCGGUCCAGACUCCUACGGGGGGCAGCAGUGGGAAAUAUUGCAAAAUGGGGGCAAGCCUGAUGCAGCCAUGCCGGGUGUAUGAAGAAGGCCUUCGGGUUGUAAAGUUCUUUCAGGGGGGGGGAAGGGAGAAAAUUUAAUACCUUUGCUCAUUGACGUUACCCGCAGAAGAAGCCCCGGCUAACCCCGU
RNAcentral lists this ribosomal RNA (489 nucleotides) under uncultured bacterium. Its description in RNAcentral is "partial 16S ribosomal RNA". It matches the Rfam family "Bacterial small subunit ribosomal RNA", at positions 30 to 506 of the family's 1533-position model. The record is from RNAcentral.